AUGCAACGACAUCAACCACGUCCACGCCUAGCACAGCAGCCGACAACCAGGCCACCCCGUCCUGACCAACCUGGCAGUUCUACGUGGCACCCGCAGCACUAUGGUCCCACGUCGAGCUUCGUGUUUUCUCCACAGCCACAGCAACACGGUCCCUCGUCGAGCUUCGUGUUUUCUCCACAGCCACAGCAGCACGGUCCCUCGUCCAGUUUCGUGUUUCAGCCAGAGCAGACGUCACACCCAGCAGGUAUGUGUCUUCAUAUUUAUUGUUUUCAAUAUUAA
Molecule: ribosomal RNA, 279 nt
Filed under: Triticum aestivum (bread wheat)
Lineage: Eukaryota; Viridiplantae; Streptophyta; Magnoliopsida; Poales; Poaceae
Description: partial small subunit ribosomal RNA
Source: RNAcentral